This 80-nucleotide transfer RNA is filed under the name Coemansia spiralis. Its description in RNAcentral is "tRNA-Leu". It matches the Rfam family "tRNA". Rfam says of the family: Transfer RNA (tRNA) molecules are approximately 80 nucleotides in length. Their secondary structure includes four short double-helical elements and three loops (D, anti-codon, and T loops). Further hydrogen bonds mediate the characteristic L-shaped molecular structure. tRNAs have two regions of fundamental functional importance: the anti-codon, which is responsible for specific mRNA codon recognition, and the 3' end, to which the tRNAs corresponding amino acid is attached (by aminoacyl-tRNA synthetases). tRNAs cope with the degeneracy of the genetic code in two manners: having more than one tRNA (with a specific anti-codon) for a particular amino acid; and 'wobble' base-pairing, i.e. permitting non-standard base-pairing at the 3rd anti-codon position. The record is from RNAcentral. RNAcentral also lists the same sequence under 14 other names. Lineage: Eukaryota; Fungi; Kickxellomycota; Kickxellomycetes; Kickxellales; Kickxellaceae.
GGACAGAUGGCCGAGUGGUCUAAGGCGCUGCGUUUAGGCCGCAGUCUUUCGGGGCGUGGGUUCGAAUCCCACUCUGUUCA